GACGAACGCUGGCGGCGUGCCUAAUACAUGCAAGUAGAACGCUGAAGGAGGAGCUUGCUUCUCUGGAUGAGUUGCGAACGGGUGAGUAACGCGUAGGUAACCUGCCUGGUAGCGGGGGAUAACUAUUGGAAACGAUAGCUAAUACCGCAUAAUAUUGACUACUGCAUGAUAGUCAGUUGAAAGGUGCAACUGCACGACUACCAGAUGGACCUGCGCUGUAUUAGCUAGUUGGUGGGGUAAAGGAUCACCAUGGCGAGGAUACAUAGCCGCACGGAGAGGGGGGGCGGCCGCACUGGGACUGAGACACGGCCCAGACUCCUACGGGAGGCAGCAGUAGUGAAUCUUCGGCAAGGGGCGGAAGUCUGACCGAGCAACGCCGCGGGAGUGAAGAAGGUUUUCGGAUCGUAAAGCUCGGUUGUAAGAGAAGAACGAGUGUGAGAGUGGAAAGCUCACACUGUGACGGUAUCUUACCAGAAAGGGACGGCUAACUACGUG
RNAcentral lists this ribosomal RNA (495 nucleotides) under uncultured bacterium. RNAcentral's name for it is "partial 16S ribosomal RNA". It matches the Rfam family "Bacterial small subunit ribosomal RNA", at positions 28 to 507 of the family's 1533-position model. The record is from RNAcentral.